RNAcentral lists this small RNA (100 nucleotides) under Microcebus murinus (gray mouse lemur). RNAcentral describes it as "Y RNA (ENSMICG00000025157.3)". The record is from RNAcentral. Lineage: Eukaryota; Metazoa; Chordata; Mammalia; Primates; Cheirogaleidae.
GGCUGGUUCCAUGAUACAGGGUUAUCAGAAUUUAACAUUAGUGUUACUGAAGUAGGUACACAACACCCCCCCUGCUAUUAAUAAAUUUGACUGGCUUUCA